This 254-nucleotide ribosomal RNA is filed under the name uncultured bacterium. RNAcentral describes it as "partial 16S ribosomal RNA". It matches the Rfam family "Bacterial small subunit ribosomal RNA", at positions 524 to 776 of the family's 1533-position model. The record is from RNAcentral.
CACGUAGGGGGCAAGCGUUGUCCGGAUUUAUUGGGCGUAAAGAGCUCGUAGGCGGCUCGGUAAGUUGGGCGUGAAACCUCCAGGCUCAACCUGGAGACGCCACCCGAUACUGCUGUGACUAGAGUCCGGUAGGGGAGCGUGGAAUUCCUGGUGUAGCGGUGAAAUGCGUAGAGAUGCGGAGGAACACCGAUGGCGAAGGCAGCCCCCUGGGCUAACACUGACGCUCAGGCACGAAAGCGUGGGGAGCAAACAGG